RNAcentral lists this ribosomal RNA (497 nucleotides) under uncultured bacterium. RNAcentral describes it as "bacterial SSU rRNA". It matches the Rfam family "Bacterial small subunit ribosomal RNA", at positions 347 to 842 of the family's 1533-position model. The record is from RNAcentral.
GGCAGCAGUGAGGAAUAUUGGUCAAUGGGCGAGAGCCUGAACCAGCCAAGUCGCGUGAGGGAGUACUGCCCUAUGGGUUGUAAACCUCUUUUGUCGGGGAGCAAAAGCCGGACGUGUCCGGCUGUGAGAGUACCCGAAGAAAAAGCAUCGGCUAACUCCGUGCCAGCAGCCGCGGUAAUACGGAGGAUGCGAGCGUUAUCCGGAUUUAUUGGGUUUAAAGGGUGCGCAGGCGGAUUUUUAAGUCAGCGGUCAAAUCGUGGGGCUCAACCCCAUCCAGCCGUUGAAACUGGGGAUCUAGAGUGUGCGAGAGGUAUGCGGAAUGCGUGGUGUAGCGGUGAAAUGCAUAGAUAUCACGCAGAACCCCGAUUGCGAAGGCAGCAUACCGGUGCACAACUGACGCUCAGGCACGAAAGCGUGGGUAUCGAACAGGAUUAGAUACCCUGGUAGUCCACGCAGUAAACGAUGAAUGCUACCUGUUUGGCCAGAUUGAAGGCUGA